Long non-coding RNA from Vicia villosa (hairy vetch), 548 nucleotides. RefSeq lists it as uncharacterized. The record is from RefSeq and is a predicted model, not a curated record. NCBI's taxonomy places the organism in Eukaryota, Viridiplantae, Streptophyta, Magnoliopsida, Fabales, Fabaceae. The transcript has 3 exons.
UUAAACUUUAGGAUUUCAAAUUUUGUGACUAUUCAUUCUCUCUCCUAUCAAACAUCUCCAAAUUAUUUUCCUCUUUUUUCUCUUGUGAAACUUCUCUCAAUUCUUCGUUCUUUCUCUUUUACUCAUGUUUAUUGUUCAUUUUUAUGAUUGAGUUUCAGACAGAUUCGGUUUUGUUUUUGAUUUUGUGUUUUUUGUUUCAGGUUUGGUGAUGUUGGCUUACGCGGAAGGGGAAGAUUUGCCGAUGGUGCGACUUCUGAUGGCUCCAUGUGCAGCGCCUUUGUGACCUAAAAAGGAAGUCGGAAACGAAUCGUGAACUUAUGACAAUACCACUUGAUACUCGAAAAACUUAAUCGGGUUUUGAGAUUUAUCAGUUGGGGACUAGAACGGGAACAUCGAUUUUGGAGAUGGUUAUAUCUUUUGACUUUUGAGCAGGCUUUUGGAAGGGUUACGACAUACCGCAUUAUUGGAAUCAGGACUUCACUACGAGAGAACUUGCUUACAUGCUUAACUGCAUAUCCUAGAAAAAUAAUGUUCUGCCAUCUUUGGAG